Molecule: ribosomal RNA, 720 nt
Filed under: uncultured bacterium
Lineage: Bacteria
Description: bacterial SSU rRNA
Rfam family: Bacterial small subunit ribosomal RNA
Source: RNAcentral
GCAGCAACGCCGCGUGGAGGAUGAAGGCCUUCGGGUUGUAAACUCCUUUUCUGGGGGAAGAGGAAGGACGGUACCCCAGGAAUCAGACACGGCUAACUACGUGCCAGCAGCCGCGGUAAUACGUAGGUGUCAAGCGUUAUCCGGAAUUACUGGGCGUAAAGGGGGCGCAGGCGGCCGGGCAAGUCUCGUGUGAAAGCCUCCGGCUUAACCGGGGGAGGUCGCGAGAUACUGCUUGGCUUGAGACAGUGAGAGGGAGGCGGAAUUCCCGGUGUAGUGGUGGAAUGCGUAGAUAUCGGGAAGAACACCAGUGGCGAAGGCGGCCUCCUGGCACUGCUCUGACGCUGAGGUGCGAAAGCGUGGGGAGCGAACGGGAUUAGAUACCCCGGUAGUCCACGCUGUAAYKRMAUGUGAACUAGGUGUGGGCAGCAUUGACCCUGUCCGUGCCGCAGCCAACGCGAUAAGUUCUCCGCCUGGGGAGUACGCCGGCAACGGUAAAACUCAAAGGAAUUGACGGGGACCCGCACAAGCGGUGGAGCAUGUGGUUUAAUUCGAUGCAACGCGAAGAACCUUACCUGGCCUUGACAUCCUCGGAACUUUCCAGAGAUGGAUUGGUGCCUUCGGGAACCGAGUGACAGGUGCUGCAUGGCUGUCGUCAGCUCGUGUCGUGAGAUGUUGGGUUAAGUCCCGCAACGAGCGCAACCCUUGUCCCUAGUUGCCAGC